This 579-nucleotide ribosomal RNA is filed under the name uncultured bacterium. RNAcentral describes it as "bacterial SSU rRNA". It matches the Rfam family "Bacterial small subunit ribosomal RNA", at positions 347 to 916 of the family's 1533-position model. The record is from RNAcentral.
GGCAGCAGUCGGGAAUUUUGGGCAAUGGGGGAAACCCUGACCCAGCAACGCCGCGUGAGGGAUGAAGGCCUUCGGGUCGUAAACCUCUGUCGGAAGGGAAGAAAGGCGUCUGUUCGAAUACAGCAGGGGCUUGACGGUACCUUCAAAGGAAGCACCGGCUAACUCCGUGCCAGCAGCCGCGGUAAUACGGAGGGUGCAAGCGUUGUUCGGAAUUACUGGGCGUAAAGCGCGUGUAGGCGGCUUGACAAGUCGAGUGUGAAAUCCCAGGGCUCAACCCUGGAACUGCACCCGAAACUGCCUCGCUAGAGUCCCGGAGAGGGUGGCGGAAUUUCCGGUGUAGAGGUGAAAUUCGUAGAUAUCGGAAGGAACACCAGUGGCGAAGGCGGCCACCUGGACGGUGACUGACGCUGAGACGCGAAAGCGUGGGGAGCAAACAGGAUUAGAUACCCUGGUAGUCCACGCCGUAAACGUUGAGUGCUAGGCGUCGGGGGUAUUGACCCCUCCGGUGCCGGAGUUAACGCAUUAAGCACUCCGCCUGGGGAGUACGGCCGCAAGGCUAAAACUCAAAUGAAUUGACGG